GGUUAUCGAUGGGCCAUGUCGUUUGUCGUGGAAGGCUGCUCGUGAAGGGUGGUGGAGGUUCUAUUAAGGACGUGAGGCAACGAAUGCAGAUGGCUGAAGGUUUUUCCGGCAGGUCUUGGAGGUGGUUCGCUGAUGGCUAUGGGGACGGGCUGCUAGGGUUUUUGGUUAGGGAGAUGGAGGAAGAAGAUAAUGAAUAGUGGGGAGUGGCGGCUAGGUCUAGGCUAGAGAGAGUUAGAGUGUCUUUAGGGUUUUU
RNAcentral lists this long non-coding RNA (253 nucleotides) under Nicotiana benthamiana. RNAcentral describes it as "long non-coding RNA (NBEN_LNC034974)". The record is from RNAcentral. Lineage: Eukaryota; Viridiplantae; Streptophyta; Magnoliopsida; Solanales; Solanaceae.